AUGGCCGACGUGGGUCAAAGUGUAGUAUUUGUCGUUAUCAGAUUAAUAUCUGAUACGGGUAGUAUUGGGACGAAAUAUAUUAAAAUUAUUUUUGCAAGUUGGCAGGGUACUUGAAGCGUGCUUCACCUCCAACGCGAGUCGGCCCGGUAUUGCAUAUCUUCGAGAUUUUUGGUCUACGAACA
Small nuclear RNA from Dermacentor silvarum, 182 nucleotides. RefSeq annotates it as U2 spliceosomal RNA. The record is from RefSeq and is a predicted model, not a curated record. The transcript has a single exon. Lineage: Eukaryota; Metazoa; Arthropoda; Arachnida; Ixodida; Ixodidae.